Molecule: long non-coding RNA, 1180 nt
Organism: Frieseomelitta varia
Lineage: Eukaryota; Metazoa; Arthropoda; Insecta; Hymenoptera; Apidae
Exons: 2
Source: RefSeq, a predicted model, not a curated record
UGGCGAAAGAAAGAGAGAGAGAGAGAGUCUGUGAGUGAGUGAGUGAGUGAGUGAGUGAGUGAGAGGGAGAGGGAGCACACUGACUGGCAAGUACAUUGGACACGUUUGCGCUCGCGGGCUGCGUCCAUCGACACCACUAGGGUGAUCGUACCUCCGAAAGGGGUCUGUGUUGCAGUUAUUGCAACAGCGCACCGUUUUCUAACAAGCUUCCUCGAAUUAUUUGCGUCUCUUUUUCUUCUUCUGAAGUCAAGUCGAAUUGUCACUACGUUGGAUAAAAGAAUUAUAUUUUGUCGCAGCAAGUUAAUGAAUGAACUCUCGGUAUCUUUUUUUAUCGGAUAAAAACUCGCUCUCGGUUCGUAUUUUGCAAGGCCAGACCGAAAGGAAUAAACAACUUCUAAGGUAGGUAAAUUUCUUCAACAAUAUAAAGUAACUUCAUCGCCAUAUUUUAAAAUUAUCUUUUCAGCUAUCUUAUUGAUCUUCAGUAUUUGAUCUGUCAAGUAUUAACAUUACAGUUAAUAUCUUCUGUAUGUUUUAUGAAAAUUCAUAUACUACGUUAAUUGCAUCAUAUUUGCACAAUAUUUAGUGAAGUGUGGAAAUAUUGAUUAAUACGAUAUGACAUACAAAUCGUCUCGUUCUAUAAUUCUUUUAACGUAUUGGUAAUUUGGUAAUCUAGAAGACAGAUAUUUCCCAUCGCGUAGAAAAUGGAAGAACGUAUACAUUAUAAAACAAUAUACGUUGUAUUUGAAGAAGUAUAUUGGAUGCGUUGCGAUAUUGGCUUAUUAUCAUUUCGCAGUAAGAAUGUAUAAUUUAUAAACACAUGUACUGCCUGUGAAAAAGAUAUAGGUUAUAGAAUAGAUCAGGUGUUCAAGUUUACAUGUUUCAAAAUAUGGAAGAAAUAAAAAGUUUGAGAUCUUAAAAGAUUAUCUCGUAUAUAUCAUACUAGCUCAUAAAUAUAUAGUGUAUGUAUGUAUAUAUAUAUAUAUAUAUAUAUACGGGAUGUCCCGCAGUGAUACGGCCGAACAGAAGACGAUUCCAUGUCAAAAAAUGAGCCGAAAGGAAGAAAUAAAAUUUUUUCACCUAAGUCUUUGUUUUCGAGAAAAUUGAGUUUGAAAAUUUAUCAAGUGUGCUCAAAUUUAGUUAAUUCCGUAUUGGACAGGCGCGAGUAAUCGACACGAGGAUA